Molecule: small RNA, 98 nt
Filed under: Marmota monax (woodchuck)
Lineage: Eukaryota; Metazoa; Chordata; Mammalia; Rodentia; Sciuridae
Source: RNAcentral
AUUGCUUCUUGGCCUUUUGGCUAAGAUCAAGUGUAAUAUGUGAUCAAAAUAAAAUAAAAAAGGCUGGGGAUUAGUGGUAGAGAAUCUGCCUAGCAUUU